This 214-nucleotide long non-coding RNA is filed under the name Medicago truncatula (barrel medic). RNAcentral's name for it is "long non-coding RNA (MTRU_LNC006677)". The record is from RNAcentral. Lineage: Eukaryota; Viridiplantae; Streptophyta; Magnoliopsida; Fabales; Fabaceae.
UUCUCUUGUACCAAACAACUAAUAAAAUCAUCUUACUUUCUACUCUCAUUCUUUCCUUACACAAUCUUUCCUUUAACUUUCUUUCCUUCUACUUUCUUUGAUCAACCAAACAAAGCCUAAGAGUAUAUGCAUAGGAACGUUAUACAAAGAAAAAAUAUCACCUCAUUUGUGUAGUGGUGUCAUGAGAAACUGUGAUACAUUCAAGAGAUUUAGG